UUCCCACACCAGGAAUUGAACCCAGGCUUUCUGGGUGAAAGCUAGAUAUCCUAGCUACUAGACCACGUGGGA
This 72-nucleotide transfer RNA is filed under the name Cordylochernes scorpioides. Its description in RNAcentral is "tRNA-Glu". Lineage: Eukaryota; Metazoa; Arthropoda; Arachnida; Pseudoscorpiones; Chernetidae. The record is from RNAcentral.